CAACUAUCAACAACGGACUCUUGGCAUCCCACUCGAUGAAGAACGCAGCGAAUGCGAUAAGUAAUGUGAAUGCAGAAUUCAGUGAAUCAUCGAAUCUUUGAACGCACCUUGCACCUUCCAGUACUCUGGAGGGUAUGCCCGGUUGAGUAUUAUG
This 154-nucleotide ribosomal RNA is filed under the name uncultured Tulasnellaceae. Its description in RNAcentral is "5.8S ribosomal RNA". It matches the Rfam family "5.8S ribosomal RNA". Rfam says of the family: 5.8S ribosomal RNA (5.8S rRNA) is a component of the large subunit of the eukaryotic ribosome. Lineage: Eukaryota; Fungi; Basidiomycota; Agaricomycetes; Cantharellales; Tulasnellaceae. The record is from RNAcentral.